GAUUAAAUUGGUGCCAGCAAUCGCGGUUACACCAAUUAUACAAAUGAAUUUUUUUAGUAAAAGUUAAAUUGGUUUAAUUUAAAUAUAAUUAAAUUUAUUAAGUGAAAUUUUAAAUUUAAAAUUUUUAUUAAGUGAAUAAUUGAAACUUGAAAAUUUUAAAUAAAAACUAGGAUUAGAUACCCUAUUAUUUAAAAUGUAAAUAUAAAUACUUAAGUAGUAAUAGUUAAGUUCUUGAAACUUAAAAAAUUUGGCGGUAUUUUAGUCUAUCCAGAGGAACCUGUUUUGUAAUCGAUAAUCCACGAUGGACCUUACUUAAGUUUGUAAUCAGUUUAUAUACCGUCGUUAUCAGAAUAUUUUAUAAGAAUAUUAAUAUUCAAUAAUUUUUAUUAAAAUUUAUAUCAGAUCAAGGUGUAGCUUAUAUUUAAGUAAUAAUGGGUUACAAUAAAUUUAUUUAAACGGAUAAAAUUAUGAAAAAAUUUUUGAAGGUGGAUUUGGUAGUAAAAUUAUAAAGAUUAAUAAUUUGAUUUUAGCUCUAAAAUAUGUACACAUCGCCCGUCGCUCUU
Molecule: ribosomal RNA, 563 nt
Filed under: Drosophila virilis
Lineage: Eukaryota; Metazoa; Arthropoda; Insecta; Diptera; Drosophilidae
Description: partial 12S ribosomal RNA
Source: RNAcentral